UGGGGAAUUUUGGACAAUGGGCGAAAGCCUGAUCCAGCAAUGCCGCGUGUGUGAAGAAGGCCUUCGGGUUGUAAAGCACUUUUGUCCGGAAAGAAAUCCUUGGCUCUAAUACAGUCGGGGGAUGACGGUACCGGAAGAAUAAGCACCGGCUAACUACGUGCCAGCAGCCGCGGUAAUACGUAGGGUGCAAGCGUUAAUCGGAAUUACUGGGCGUAAAGCGUGCGCAGGCGGUUUGCUAAGACCGAUGUGAAAUCCCCGGGCUCAACCUGGGAACUGCAUUGGUGACUGGCAGGCUAGAGUAUGGCAGAGGGGGGUAGAAUUCCACGUGUAGCAGUGAAAUGCGUAGAGAUGUGGAGGAAUACCGAUGGCGAAGGCAGCCCCCUGGGCCAAUACUGACGCUCAUGCGCGAAAGCGUGGGGAGCAAACAGGAUUAGAUACCCUGGUAGUCCACGCCCUAAACGAUGUCAACUAGUUGUUGGGGAUUCAUUUCCUUAGUAACGUAGCUAACGCGUGAAGUUGACCGCCUGGGGAGUACGGUCGCAAGAUUAAAACUCAAAGGAAUUGACGGGGUCAUAGCUGUUUCCU
Molecule: ribosomal RNA, 585 nt
Filed under: uncultured bacterium
Lineage: Bacteria
Description: partial 16S ribosomal RNA
Rfam family: Bacterial small subunit ribosomal RNA
Source: RNAcentral